UAUUCCAGUACCACCAUAAUGCGUUUGACAAAUGGGAUGACGCAGGAGGAUAGGAUGUGCGCACUAUUGGAUGUGCGUCUAAGCACUUAGGGUGUUAAGUAGGCAAAUCCGCUUAACAUUAAGCCUGAGGUGUGAUGGGGAGCCUAUUUUGGCGAAGUAUCUGAUUCCACGCUGCCAAGAAAAGUCUCUAUGGAGCAAAAUGGUGCCCGUACCGCAAACCGACACAGGUAGAUGAGGAGAGAAUCCUAAGGUCGUCGGAAGAAUUAUUGCUAAGGAACUCGGCAAAUUGACCCCGUAACUUAGGGAGAAGGGGUGCCUACGAGAGUAGGCCGCAGUGAAUAGGCUCAAGCAACUGUUUAUCAAAAACACAGGUCUCUGCUAAAGCGUAAGCUGAUGUAUAGGGGCUGACGCCUGCCCGGUGCUGGAAGGUUAAGGGGAAUAGUUAGCGCAAGCGAAGCUAUGAACUUAAGCCCCAGUAAACGGCGGCCGUAACUAUAACGGUCCUAAGGUAGCGAAAUUCCUUGUCGGGUAAGUUCCGACCCGCACGAAUGGCGUAAUGAUUUGAGCACUGUCUCGGCAAUAAAUCCGGUGAAAUUGUAGUGCAAGUGAAGAUGCUUGCUACCCGCGGUUGGACGGAAAGACCCCGUAGAGCUUUACUGUAGCUUAGCAUUGAAUUUCGGUAUUGUCUGUACAGGAUAGGUGGGAGACUUAGAAGCGAGGGCGUCAGCGUUCGUGGAGUCGUCCUUGGGAUACCACCCUGACAGUACUGGAAUUCUAACUGGAGGCCAUGAAUCUGGUCACAGGACAUUGCUAGGUGGGCAGUUUGACUGGG
Molecule: ribosomal RNA, 832 nt
Filed under: Clostridium botulinum C/D
Lineage: Bacteria; Bacillati; Bacillota; Clostridia; Eubacteriales; Clostridiaceae
Description: partial 23S ribosomal RNA
Rfam family: Bacterial large subunit ribosomal RNA
Source: RNAcentral